This 425-nucleotide ribosomal RNA is filed under the name uncultured bacterium. RNAcentral describes it as "partial 16S ribosomal RNA". It matches the Rfam family "Bacterial small subunit ribosomal RNA", at positions 354 to 796 of the family's 1533-position model. The record is from RNAcentral.
GUGGGGAAUAUUGCACAAUGGGGGAAACCCUGAUGCAGCGACGCCGCGUGAGUGAAGAAGUAUUUCGGUACGUAAAGCUCUAUCAGCAAGGAAGAAAAUGACGGUACUUGACUAAGAAGCCCCGGCUAACUACGUGCCAGCAGCCGCGGUAAUACGUAGGGGGCAAGCGUUAUCCGGAUUUACUGGGUGUAAAGGGAGCGUAGACGGUAUGGUAAGUCAGAUGUGAAAGCCCGGGGCUCAACCCCGGGACUGCAUUUGAAACUAUCAGACUAGAGUGCAGGAGAGGUAAGUGGAAUUCCUAGUGUAGCGGUGAAAUGCGUAGAUAUUAGGAGGAACACCAGUGGCGAAGGCGGCUUACUGGACUGUAACUGACGCUGAGGUUCGAAAGCGUGGGUAGCAAACAGGAUUAGAUACCCGAGUAGUCC